RNAcentral lists this ribosomal RNA (1019 nucleotides) under Prophorostoma pulchrum. RNAcentral describes it as "eukaryotic LSU rRNA". It matches the Rfam family "Eukaryotic large subunit ribosomal RNA", at positions 51 to 883 of the family's 3401-position model. Lineage: Eukaryota; Metazoa; Arthropoda; Insecta; Diptera; Tachinidae. The record is from RNAcentral.
GGGAGGAAAAGAAACUAACAAGGAUUUUCUUAGUAGCGGCGAGCGAAAAGAAAAUAGUUCAGCACUAAGUCACUUUGUCUAUAUGGCGAAUGUGAGAUGCAGUGUAUGGAAUGUCAAUUUUCUUGUAUGAGAAAUUAACGAUUUAAGUCCUUCUUAAAUGAGGCCAUUUACCCAUAGAGGGUGCCAGGCCCGUAUAACGUUAAUGAUUACUAGAUGACAAUUUCCAAAGAGUCGUGUUGCUUGAUAGUGCAGCACUAAGUGGGUGGUAAACUCCAUCUAAUACUAAAUAUAACCAUGAGACCGAUAGUAAACAAGUACCGUGAGGGGAAGUUGAAAAGAACUCUGAAUAGAGAGUUAAAUAGUACGUGAAACUGCUUAGAGGUUAAGCCCGAUGAACCUGAAUAUCCAUUAUGGAAAAUUCAUCAUUAUGAUUUUAGUAUUAAUAUAAUAUUAUAAUAAUGGUGUGCAUUUUUUCCAUAAAGGACAUUGUAAUCUAUUAACAUUAUAAAUUUAUCAUAAGAUCGUUUGCCAAAGUUUAUUUAAAUUAUUUUGCUAUGCAAUUUAAAAUAGAAUAAAUGCACUCGAUUUGAUAAAGUGUUGAUAGAUUUUAUUAUAUUAUAGUGCUUAAAUAUAUAUAUAUAUUUUAUAAUAGCGUAGAGAUCUUUGAUUUUUAUGUUUAUUUAUAUGCACUUAUAUGAUUAACAAUGCGAAAGAUUCAGGAUACCUUCGGGACCCGUCUUGAAACACGGACCAAGGAGUCUAACAUAUUUGCAAGUUAUUGGGAAUAAAAACCUAAUAGCGAAAUUAACAUAACUUAAUUUAAAUGGGAUUAGUUUUUAAUACUAUUGUAUUAUUAAUUCAAUCCCGGGGCGUUCUAAAUAGUUAUGUAUAAUAAUAUUUAUAUUAUUUAUACCUCUAACUAGAGCGUACCUUGAGCAUAUAUGCUGUGACCCGAAAGAUGGUGAACUAUACUUGAUCAGGUUGAAGUCAGGGGAAACCCUGAUGGAAGACCGAAACAG